Molecule: ribosomal RNA, 492 nt
Filed under: uncultured bacterium
Lineage: Bacteria
Description: partial 16S ribosomal RNA
Rfam family: Bacterial small subunit ribosomal RNA
Source: RNAcentral
AGUGAACGCUGGCGGUAGGCCUAACACAUGCAAGUCGAACGGCAGCACAGUAAGAGCUUGCUCUUACGGGUGGCGAGUGGCGGACGGGUGAGGAAUACAUCGGAAUCUACUUUUUCGUGGGGGAUAACGUAGGGAAACUUACGCUAAUACCGCAUACGACCUACGGGUGAAAGCAGGGGAUCUUCGGACCUUGCGCGAUUGAAUGAGCCGAUGUCGGAUUAGCUAGUUGGCGGGGUAAAGGCCCACCAAGGCGACGAUCCGUAGCUGGUCUGAGAGGAUGAUCAGCCACACUGGAACUGAGACACGGUGCAGACUCCUACGGGAGGCAGCAGUGGGGAAUAUUGGACAAUGGGCGCAAGCCUGAUCCAGCCAUACCGCGUGAGUGAAGAAGGCCUUCGAGUUGUAAAGCCCUUUUGUUGGGAAAGAAAAGCAGCAGGUUAAUACCCCGCUGUUCUGACGGUACCCAAAGAAUAAGCACCGGCUAACUUCGUG